This 418-nucleotide ribosomal RNA is filed under the name uncultured eukaryote. Its description in RNAcentral is "SSU rRNA". It matches the Rfam family "Eukaryotic small subunit ribosomal RNA", at positions 567 to 990 of the family's 1831-position model. The record is from RNAcentral.
CCAGCAGCCGCGGUAAUUCCAGCUCCAAUAGCGUAUAUUAAAGUUGUUGCAGUUAAAAAGCUCGUGGUUGGAUUUCUGGCAGGAGCGACCGGUCUCACACUCUGUGUGAGAACUUGUGUUGUCUCUGGCCAUCCUUGGGGAGAUCCUGUUUGGCAUUAAGUUGUCGGGCAGGGGAUACCCAUCGUUUACUGUGAAAAAAUUAGAGUGUUCAAGGCAGGCUAUCGCCCUGAAUAUACAAGCAUGGAAUAAUGGAAUAGGUCUGGGUCUAUUUUGUUGGUUUAUAGAACCAGAAAUGAUUAAUAGGGACAGUUGGGGCCAUUAGUAUUUAAUUGUCAGAGGUGAAAUUCUUGGAUUUAUUAAAGACUGACUUAUGCGAAAGCAUUUGGCAAGGAUGUUUUCAUUGAUCAAGAACGAAAGU